Molecule: ribosomal RNA, 253 nt
Filed under: uncultured bacterium
Lineage: Bacteria
Description: partial 16S ribosomal RNA
Rfam family: Bacterial small subunit ribosomal RNA
Source: RNAcentral
UACGUAGGGUGCGAGCGUUGUCCGGAAUUACUGGGCGUAAAGAGCUCGUAGGUGGUUUGUCGCGUUGUCCGUGAAAACUCACAACUCAAUUGUGGGCGUGCGGGCGAUACGGGCAGACUGGAGUACUGCAGGGGAGACUGGAAUUCCUGGUGUAGCGGUGGAAUGCGCAGAUAUCAGGAUGAACACCGGUGGCGAAGGCGGGUCUCUGGGCAGUAACUGACGCUGAGGAGCGAAAGCGUGGGGAGCGAACAGG